RNAcentral lists this ribosomal RNA (232 nucleotides) under uncultured bacterium. RNAcentral's name for it is "partial 16S ribosomal RNA". It matches the Rfam family "Bacterial small subunit ribosomal RNA", at positions 542 to 773 of the family's 1533-position model. The record is from RNAcentral.
UGUCCGGAAUUAUUGGGCGUAAAGGGCUCGUAGGCGGUUUGUCGCGUCGGGAGUGAAAACACCGGGCUUAACUCGGUGCUUGCUUUCGAUACUGGCAGGCUAGAGUCAAGCAGAGGGAAGUGGAAUUCCCGGUGUAGCGGUGAAAUGCGCAGAUAUCGGGAAGAACACCGGUGGCGAAGGCGGCUUCCUGGGCUUGUACUGACGCUGAGGAGCGAAAGCUAGGGGAGCGAAC